This is an RNA transcript of Chelonia mydas (Green sea turtle), 6446 nucleotides long. It is a transcript of the gene named E2F transcription factor 6, with no coding region annotated. The record is from RefSeq and is a predicted model, not a curated record. The transcript has 8 exons. NCBI's taxonomy places the organism in Eukaryota, Metazoa, Chordata, Testudines, Cheloniidae.
GCGGCUGCCCGCGGGGAGGCAGGUGGAGGGGCUGCGGAGGGACGGCUCGAGCCUCACGCUGUCGCCGCCGGGAGUCGCUUUCCCCGCCCAGCGGCCGCCGGCCUGGGGAGCGGAUCGCAACGCGGCCGCGCCCUGCCCGCUCCUCCCGGAGGUGUGACGGGGGGCGGCGCUCGCCCGGACAUGGACUCGCCGCUCCAGGUGGGCGGCGGCCUGUAAGCAGCGUCCCGGGCCGCGAGAGGCUUGGCGCCGGCCGCUGGGCGGGGAGGCGAGGGGCCGAGCUAACAUGGCCACCCCCGCCAAGGGGAAGAGCCUGCGGCCGCUGCACCCGGACACGCUGCGGCCACCAAAAAUCAACCUUAAUAUGGAAGAUGAGGUCCAGUUUGUGACAAUGAGAAAAACCCUGAAAGUCACAAAGCCUCGUUUUGAUGCAUCCUUGGUUUACCUGACCCGAAAAUUCAUGGAUCUUGUCAAAACUGCUCCUGAUGGUGUUCUUGAUUUGAAUGAAGUAGCAACAACUCUGGGGGUACGAAAACGAAGAGUAUAUGACAUCACCAAUGUAUUGGAUGGAAUCCACCUGAUUCAGAAAAGAUCUAAGAAUCUUAUCCAGUGGGUAGGAUCUGAUCUCGAUCAGGUUGCUGGAAAGGCAUCAGAACAGCAAAAGCUUAGAGAUGAACUUUCUGAUUUAUCAGCAAUGGAAGAAGCUCUGGAUGAAUUAAUUAAGGACUGUGCUCACCAGUUGUUUGAAUUAACGGAUGACAAAGAAAACACAAAACUAGCUUAUGUGACAUAUCAAGAUAUUCAUAGCAUUAAGGCCUUUCAAGAACAGAUCGUUAUGGCAAUCAAAGCUCCAGAAGAAACAAAACUAGAAAUACCAGCUCCUAAAGAAGAUUGUAUAGAAGUACGUAUAAAGAGCACAAAGGGACCCAUUGAUGUAUAUUUAUGUGAAGUGGAGCAAGAUAACCCAGGUGCCAAAACUUUUGAAGAUAUGGAUACUCUGACGUCAGAAACUAAAUCACCAGUACCUCUUGAUGAAGAACUCUGUGUGAACUGAAAAUCAGUUAUUUGCUCUGCUCUACUUGUUACCUAUACAUAUUUUGAUUUGUGUAACACUAUUGUAUAAUAUAAUCUGGUGCCCUGCUGUUCUGUGAUUAGAUGUAUAAUGCCUUGCUGCAGAAUCUUAGUUUGCAAAACAGGAAAACUUGACAACUAACUCAAUAGCUCACUUCAAGUGAGAGCGGAUAUGUCUGUCUUCAUCAAUAGAGAUGCAAGAUAACCAGUCAUAUAUGCCGGUUACUGCUGUCUGGAAGUAAACAAAGCAGGAUAUGUAGUUUGAUGGGAUGGUGUGGGGAGUAGUUAAGGUGACUUAUUUUCAGCAAUGCUAUUUGAAAAGCAGUAGUUGCCCUUCCCCCGGUGUCCACUAAGAUUUUUGUUUUUGUGCCACUUGUGGAAUAGCAACAUGGUGAUGUGAUUGGUCUGUUUCCAAUAGUCUUUGUGUUAACAUAAUCCUAACGCAAUAGUUUUUCCUUAUAAAGUAUCUCCUGUGUUUAGUGGCACUAAUCCUAGAGGGAUGAGGAGUUAACCCUUUGCAAAAGUCAGUGUAAAGAGGUCUGAGAUUUGUAGCUUACAGUAUGUAGUUAUAGAAUGUUAAUUGUCUUCCAUAGGGAGUGGAAAUAUUUUUUUAAAAUAACGGAGCCCAGGAUUUCUGUCAUUCAUGUGGGUAUAAAACUGUGGAUGACCUGUUCCUGUUUAUUUGCCACAGCAAUGCUCAAUAAAAUCACUAACUUCCCUCAAAAUUCUCAUGUCUUGUACCUUCCUACAUAAAUUAGUCUUGGAUUUCUUCUUUGAGUGCCAAGGAAAAGAGAAAUUGUGGAGUAUUUCUGUUACAAGAGUGAGAUCUUCUAAAUCAACUUGAAGGGUGAAGAACCAUUAGAACACCAAGUCCUGUGCAGAUUAUCAUGAAUAUCUGCACUGCAGAAUUCCCUGAGUCACUUGGAACUAUGAAUAUGUUUUUCAAACUUAAAAUGGGAAUAAUUCAGUUGAGUGCUUUCACACAAUUAUCUUCAAUUGCUUCAGUCUAAAAGAAGGUAAUUCAAGGAACCGUUUUUAGGAGCUUUGUUUCUACACUUGUGCGUAAUCUGCAGCGUUUGGGGGAAAUGGCCUUGUUUUUACUGUUUUUAUUAAAUAAUUUGAAUGAUAAUAAAUAUGGACAAGACAUUACUUCAAAAAUGACUAUUCUUUAAAGCCACAUCUGGACCAAAAUAUGGUCCUGCAAGACUACAGAUAAUAAAGAAGCACUUUUAAUUCUGAAGCUGCACUGUCACUAAACAGGAUUGUUAAAUAUAAUGUAAGAAUCAAGAACUGGAGCAUUGGAAGGCUUUUCUUACCCAUAAGGAAUAUGACAAGUAAACAUCAUGAAAAAUUGAAGCUAUGCCUUGCACUGUGUGGAUGUGGUUUGCAUCUAACUCCGCACGGUGCGAACAAUGAAGUUAAAGGCAUGGCUUUUGUGUGUAUAUAUAUCUGUAUCAUGUUUAGAUAGUCACUACUGGAGAUUGACCAAAUGAAUUGCACUUUUGCCUUUGUACAGCAAAAACUGAAAUAAACCUGUAAAUAUAAAAAGUCAGUCUAACGGUGUUUAGUUGAACUUCAUCUUGGCUUUCUCUUUAAACAGUAGAAAUUCAUUAGGUGAAUAUAAUCACGAUUCAUCGCAGUUUUUAAUUGCACUGUUAAACAAUAGAAUACCAAUUGAAAUUUAUUAAAUAUUUUGGAUGUUUUUCUACAUUUUCAUAUAUAUUGUAUUCUGUGGUGUAAUUGAAAUCAAAGUAUACUUUUAUUACAAAUAUUUGCACUGUAAAAAUAAUAAAAGAAAUACUAUUUUUCAGUUCACCUCAUACAAGUACUGUAGUGCAAUCUUUGUUGUGAAAGUGCAACUUACAAAUGUAGAUUUUUUUUUUUUGUACACAACUGCACUCAAAAACAAAACAAUGUAAAACUUUAGAUGCUACAAGUCCACUCGGUCCUAUUUGUUCAGCCAAUCGCUAAGACAAACCAGUUUGUUUACAUUUACAGGAGAUAAUGCUGUCCUCUUCUUUACAGUGUCAUCAGAAAGUAAGAACAGGUGUUCGCAUGGCACUUCUGUAGCCAGCAUUGCAAAGUCUUUACGUGCCAGAUAUGCUAAACGUUCGUAUGCCCCUUCAUGCUUUGGCCACCAUUCCAGAGGACAUGCUUCCAUGCUCCUGAUGCUCGUUAAAAAAAUAGUGCAUUAAUUAAAUUUGUGACUGAACUCCUUGGGGGAGAAUUGUAUGUCCCCUGCUCUAUUUUGCCCGCUUCUGCCAUAUAUUUCAUGUUAUAGCAGUCUCGAAUGAUGGCUCAGCACAUGUUCGUUUUAAGAACACUUUCACUGCAGAUUUGACAAAACACAAGGUACCAAUGUAAAUUUUCUAAAGAUAGCUACGGUACUUGACCCAAGGUUUAAGAGUCUGAAGUGCCUUCCGAAAUCUGAGAGGGACGAGGUGUGGAGCAUGCUUUCAGAAGUCUUAAAAGAGCAAUAUUCCGAUGCGGAAACUACAGAACCCAAACCAGCAAAAAAGAAAAUCAACCUUCUGCUGGUGGCAUCUGACUCAGAUAAUGAAAAUGAACAUGUGUCGGUCCGCACUGCUUUGGAUUGUUAUCGAGCAGAACCUGUCAUCUGCAUGGACACGCGUCCUCUGGAAUGGUGGUUGAAGCAUGAAGGGACAUAUGAAUCUUUAGCCCAUAUGGCAGGUAAAUAUCUUGCAACGCCGGUUACAACAGUGCCUUGAGAAGACCUGUUUUCACUUUCAGGUGACAUUGUAAACAAGAAGCGGGCAGCAUUAUCUCCUGCAAAUGUAAACAAACGAUUGGCUGAACAAGAAGUAGGACUGAGUGGACUUGCAAGCUUCAAAAUUUUACAUGGUUUUAUUUAUGAAUGUAGUUUUUACAUAAUUCUACAUUUGUUACAUAAUGCCACACUUGUUACAUAAUUCAACUUUCAUGAUAAAGAGAUUGCACUACAGUACUUGCAUUAGGUGAAUUGAAAAAUACUAUUUUUGGUUUUUACAGUGCAAAUGCUUUGUAAUCAAAAAUAAAUUUAUAAAGUGAGUACUGUACACUUUGUAUUCUAUGUUGCACUUGAAAUCAAUAAAUUUGAAAAUGUAGAACACAUCCAAAAAUAUUUAAAUAAAUGGUAUUCUAUUAUUUAAUCGUGUGAUUUUUUUUUUUUUAAUCGCUUGCCAGCCCUAAUUGAAACAUUGUAUUGUACCGGCUCACUAACUUCUAUAAUUAGAUGGUAUGUCAUUGUAGUAUUGAGGCAUCUUGACAGUGCUACAUACCCAGUGAUUGAUGUGUAAAUCUGUUGUUAAUGGUUGCUGCAUAUGUCUUGAACUUAACUGUAACGCAGUGCUUCAAAAUAGUAGAGCUGCCUUUUCAUAAUUUUUACCAUGCAAAAAGUUGCCUAAUUUGGAACUGUUCUCUCAGCUGCAGUUUCCCUUUUUUUCUAAAAUGUUUAGCAAGGUACAAAGUGUUUUACACUACUGUCCCUCUGGGACUAGUUUUCCGCUGUAGCUCACAAAAGCUUAUGCUCAAAUAAAUUGUUUAGUCUCUAAGGUGCCACAAGUACGCCUUUUCUUUUUGCGAAUACAGACUAACACGGCUGUUAUUCUGAAACCAAAUGAGUUAGUUCAUCUGGGAUAUCAACAACUUAAGCGUGGGACUCCCUAUUGUUUUGCUAUAGUAUAGAUUGUAUGCGUAUCAAGAUUUUUCUUUAAUUUAGCCAUGCAUAAUUUUAAACUUCCAACUGUGACAGACUUAGUGUAAUCACUUUCUCAAUUCACAGGAAGGUCAAAAAUAGAACUACCACUAUGUUACCUGCUGAAAUACUUUCCUGUAGUUAAGUCCCUUAAAGCCAAUGCUAAUUGGAGACUUCAGAUAAUCCAGAAUUUUUAAAUACUGAUGUUUUAUACAGCUAUUGUUUAAAACAAGUCUGCUUUUAUUUUGUUAACAAACAGCAGAGGGUAGUGGACUCUAAAUAGCUUCAAUGCAACUAAAUGAAGACCCCAAAUUAAUGCAAUUAUAUAUAGUUUGCCCACUGGACAAAGUAUUAAGCAGACCAGUACUUGUUUCAAGCAGCACUCAGAUGUUUUGUAUGUGAUCUAACAACUUCCAGAUCUAGGGAGAUGGCUUAGUGAAUUCCAAAUGGGACUUCAGCAUUAUUGGAAUCUCAUUAUCUUUCCUACUUUGGCUUACUUCAGAACAGUGAACUGUACCACGGGCUUCAAUAGAAGCAUUACUUAGGAUUCAUCUAAAGUUUAGGAAAAAAUGAAGGUACACUUGCUGGCUUGGUUAUAAUAUGGAUUGGGAAGAAGCUUGUAAAGGGUCCGGAGCAAGCAAGAAAUCCUAAAGCAUCUGUGAGUAGAAAGAUCAUUGGAGGAAGACAUGCUUUCUUGAGAACCUGAUCAGUAGACCUUAGUUUAAAUUGUCUGAGUUGCAAGACCUUAGUCUGUCUGACAAAACAUAUCUCCCUCUAGGUGGCAGAGUUGUUUGCUUUUGGACGGCAGUAAUCAUUUAAUUAGCUUUUUCUAGGAUCAUUUCAACAGUUUGGACAAUAGACUGUUUACUGUGAAAUAAACACUUAAGAUUUUAUUAGCACAAGAGUGAGGAAACCUACAUUUUGUGCAUUAGGAUAGGGUCUUGAACUGGAGCUGUGCAGCCAUGUAACAUGGAAUAAUGAGCUAUAGCAUAUAUUAAAGGGACUCCACUUAAACACACUUGUCAAUAUUUUUACCUGUUACAAGUAACAUUGAAGAUCACUAUUAAAGGGAAGUUGAGGAAGUUUUUUCUUUGUCAUGCAUUUAACAGCAUUUUGUAAAUAGUUUCCUCUUUUCACCUUUUAGUGUGGGUCUUUCACACAGAAACAGAUGGAGAAAAACAUUUAAACAUCAAAAAAAAUGUGGUAAAAUGACAAAAUUGUGAGGGAAGCCUGGGGCCAGAUGUAAAUAUGAAACUACUCUUAAUUUGUUUUUACAAUGGACUAGACAUCCCUGUAUACUGACUUUAAUAAUGCAUAUUAAAUAUUUUAAAAUGUGCACUCUACCCUCUAUUCAUGGUUAAACAGUACCUUUUUGUUACUUGAAUCUUUGUAACCUUAUCUAGUUGUGCUAAUGGAAGACCUUAACAUAUUUCAGAUGAUCAUGGAAGUAGCCAGCUAGCUGAAUAAGCUUAGACUUGACAGUGUAGGAAUAGAUGUUGAAUUAUGCUCAGCUUGAGUAUUAGAAACUGUCAUAAAAGGUAAAUGUGAUGGGAUACCUUAAUAGAGGAGAUGAGACUUUACUCCUGUGAGUAUAUAUGAUACAGUGCAUCUAUUUGAUUUUUUUGUGUAAAGUGGUUAUUGAAAUUACUUGUUUUUAUAUAAAAAUAAACCAUUUUGCAACAUG